AUGUUUAGCUCUUCCGGGCGCGUCCACAAGACGCCGGUAAACACAGCGUCGACCAUUGUCGCCGAAGGUGUGUCCGGAUCACAUGUCCUCACAGUUCAGGGAUACUCCCAUACCCUUGGACUCGGCGUCUGCAGGUCUAUUCCGUCGGGCAUAUUCAGCGUCGGGGGACAUACUUGGAAAAUCCUCUACUACCCCGACGGCGUCAACAGAGAAUUUGCUGAUUGGAUAUCUUUUUCUCUACUUCUUCAUGCCGCGGAUGAUGACGACGCUGAUGAUGCUGGUAGCAGUACGCUAGGUAUCAAAGUAAGAUGCAGGUUUAGCCUGCUCGACCAGGUGGGCGUGCCGGUGCUAAAUCACACGUCGCCAUACAGGACUACCACAUGUUAUGCACAGGGCCACGGAAUUACAUCUCAUGGAUUCAUCAAAAGGGAGGAACUGGAGAACUCGCCGUAUCUUAAAGCUGAUUGUUUCAACAUCAAGUGUGAUGUCAGCGUCACCACGGGGAUCCGUACGCAGCCCAAAUCACAACAAUUUAUCACUGUGCCGCCUUCUGACAUGCCUCAUCAACUUGGCCGUGUCUUGGAGACCGGUGAGAUUGCGGACGUGACAUUUGAGGUCCGUGGUGAGACAUUUGUUGCGCAUAGGCGUUUGCUCGCGGUUCGGUCCUCGGUGUUCAUGGUGCAACUCUUCGGUCCAAUGAAGGAGGAUGAGGCAACGUGUAUACGGAUCGAUGACAUGGAAGCUAGAGUGUUCAAGAUGAUGCUACACUUUAUCUACACCGACACGCUCCCUAAUAUAGAUGCCGGUGAAAACACGGAGAUGGCUCAACAUUUGUUUGUGGCGGCAGACAGAUAUAAUCUAGAGAGGCUAAAGUUGAUUUGCGUGAAUAUGUUAUGCAACCACAUGAACGCAAGUAUGGUGGCAACGACAUUGGCACUUGCUGAGCAACAUGAUUGUGACAAGCUCAAGAAGGCAUGGUACAAGUUCCUCACUCAUUUUCAAAAUUUGAAGGCGGUAAUAGUGAGCGACGGCUUUAAGCAUCUCAAGAGCAUUCGCCCCAAUAUUCUAGAGGAGAUACUAGAUCGUCAGGCGGCUGAUGCUCCUUGA
This 1107-nucleotide ribosomal RNA is filed under the name Triticum aestivum (bread wheat). RNAcentral's name for it is "partial small subunit ribosomal RNA". The record is from RNAcentral. Lineage: Eukaryota; Viridiplantae; Streptophyta; Magnoliopsida; Poales; Poaceae.